RNAcentral lists this long non-coding RNA (1462 nucleotides) under Coturnix japonica (Japanese quail). RNAcentral's name for it is "lncRNA (ENSCJPG00005013591.1)". Lineage: Eukaryota; Metazoa; Chordata; Aves; Galliformes; Phasianidae. The record is from RNAcentral.
UUUCUGAAGAAGAGACACUGAAACAAACCCUGCUAUCGGCUGCUGGAUUGAAUUCUAAAUGCUGACCCACAUGCGAAUUUUGUGAUUGGUUCCAUUUGUUACAACGAGUGGAACUAAUUCUCUGGAUCCAAGUAUAAUUAGAUGAAUCUAGAUCAUAAGUCUGGGAAUUGCACCCAAAAACAUGAAGUUCAUUUCCCUUUGUUCUCUCGUUUCACUGAAUAACAAUAGUAAGUACUAGCCUUUCCUGUUCAGAAUCUAUUAGGGCCAAUGAAGGAAAAAGCACGGCAACCUAUGGGAACAGCACAUCUUUACAAGCUUGCAGAACUGAAGUGGUGGAGGAAGGUGAUGCAGGUUCUUGUCAGUCUUGGAAUGACUGGGAUCAGCGCUUCUCCUCUUGUGUUUAAAGCCUGAAGACUUCUUCAUGUCUGCAUCGAGUCUGGCUUUUGUUUUUCUUCAUCCUGAGAGAUCUAACCCACUAGCAACCCCAGCGCAAACAAGAGAACAACACCAUCUCUUUAGUAUGGAAGAACGUAUAACUGCUUCAGAAAGCAUUGCUGUUGCAGCAUCAAUCUGAAAGCUUGACUAUCCUGGAGCUUUUAGGCUGUUGAAAUGUCAGAUGGUAAAAACAACCCAAGAGUUCCAGAUGGGGCAAUUAGAAGAGAAACAUGCUGAAGAUGAUAAUAAGAAAAUUCUGGAUUCUCUCAAGUGGGAGUCCCAUGUCCUCACCUGUGACUUCCAAAUGCAAUCACUGUUCAAGUCUUGUGCAAAGCAGCACACCAUGAGGAAGUUCUUCAUUAUCAGGUGUCCCCUCAUUUGGCCAGAAGUGUUUGACCAAACUGUGGAAGGUCUGUGUCAUGAGGAGUUCAGAGGAGAUGUCACAGAGCAAUUUGCUGUUGAGUGGGAAGUCAUGAAGAGUUUGCAGUCUGGCUGCGGUGCUGAUACAUAUGACAGGCUGGUAGAAAGGAGACAAGCUUGCGAGAGCUGCAAUGUGGUGGUGUGUUUGAGGUAUGUGAACACAGAACAAGUGCCCAAGCAUCUGGCUUUUAUGUUGGUCUUUGUGCAAGCAUUGCUUCUCUGGUGUUUGGUCUGGCUCAUCUAGAGGCAGGCAUACACUUAGACUGCAGACCCACUGCCAAUAAUGUUCUUUCUGAAGUGAUUGCGAGGUAAGUCAAUUAUGUCAUUCCUCUUAGAAUGGGAAGUAUUAAUUAGGUGAAUUAGAGAUGCAGAGCAAAAAUGAUCAAAGCAGGUGAUGAAACGGGGUACCAAGAUAUACAGUGUGGUUUAAUGCUCAUGAUGCCUGUUCACUGUGAAUGUCUUUGAAGAUGGGUGAUACAUAACAUUUCUAAUUGAUUACAUUAGCAAGAGUGUUAUCUGGAGGGCAUUUGAUGGAGAUUCAGGAAACCUGGCUCUGUUUCUUGGUGUUUCAUUGGCCAUCUGAGCAAGUUAAUUCCUUUUCCUGUGC